AUGCAGCAAACAAGCGGAUCUUGGAGAGAGCAGGGUGACCCCUGCUUCGCCACGGAUCAGGGCCGCAGCUCACCGGUAAAGCUUCUCCUCUGCAGGCAGAAUGCCCCAAACGAUCACCAACCUAAAUGCCUAAAGCCCCGGUCUGUGCGCAUUCGAUCCAGGCGCCUUCCUGAUGCCCGCGGGCGCCGUCGCAGCGCGCCCCGAGGAAGCGGCCUGCCGGACGCUCAGGGCGCCACUCGCGAGGCAGGAUCAGGUCCCCUCGGGGAGGGGUGCGAGGUCCGUGUACUGCCGCGACAUGGCCGCGAGGGGAGGGGGCGUGGCGCAUGCCGACCCGUGUCCGCCACCAUCCACCGUUCCGCGCGGUGCCACAGCCCGGCUGUCCCGGGGGUGGGCGUGCCAGCUGGCCCGUGGGGGUGCGGGGAAGGCUCGGCCGCGGAGGCGAGAAGGGGGUGUGCCGGGCCGAAAGCGCCCGCGGGUGCCGCCCCGCCGCGCGGCAAAACAGCGCCACGGCCCGGAGCUGGAGGAGGCGUGGCGAACACGCGGGGAGCAAAACACAAGUGCGCACUCCGCGAUCACCGGCGAUGGCGGGCGGGUGUGCGCGCAAAAAGCGGCGGAGGCGGCGGCGGCGAAGGGCUUCCUGCAGCAGGGAAAGCAAAAGGGCGGCCGAGAAUCCGUCGAGGGGAAAGCGGGGCUGCAGCCGGGAAUGAGUGGGAGCGAUCGGGGGGGGGGCGCAAGAGGAGGCUGCACGGUUGGAGAGGGAGGGGGGAUCCACGCACGAUCGCCCUCCCUGGAAGAAGAGGGGGGUGUUGCAUGCCACGGCAGGAGGGGAGGAAUCGAGGGAGGCACGCGUGGAGAGAAAGAGUGCGCGCCUUCGGGCAGCGCGGAGUGGCCCGUGCAGCUUGGCUAGGGCGCACGGGCGCAAGGCGCGGGGAUUGCGUCGCCGGCGCGCCCCCUCGCACACACCCCUCUCUCACGGCCGUGCAGCUGCAAGAGCAGCGUCGCCCACCCGCACAACCAGCCUCCCCACCCCCAUCAACCCCCACGCCCGCGCCGCCAGCCCCCGACGGGCGCCCCCUCCCCGGCUUACCAGCUCCGCGCGCGCUCCGCCUCGCCUGCCAGCUCGGCUCCCUCCUUCCCUCGCGCAGCUUGUUUUGA
Molecule: long non-coding RNA, 1155 nt
Filed under: Podarcis muralis (Common wall lizard)
Lineage: Eukaryota; Metazoa; Chordata; Lepidosauria; Squamata; Lacertidae
Description: lncRNA (ENSPMRG00000002559.1)
Source: RNAcentral